UACAGAGGGUGCAAGCGUUAAUCGGAAUUACUGGGCGUAAAGCGUGCGUAGUCGGUUAUCUAAGUCGGGUGUGAAAUCCCCGGGCUCAACCUGGGAAUUGCAUUCGAUACUGGAUAGCUAGAGUUCGGCAGAGGGAAGCGGAAUUUCGGGUGUAGCGGUGAAAUGCGUAGAUAUCCGAAGGAACAUCAGUGGCGAAGGCGGCAUCCUGGACCGGUAUUGACGCUGAGGAGCGAAAGCCAGGGGAGCAAACGGG
RNAcentral lists this ribosomal RNA (253 nucleotides) under uncultured bacterium. RNAcentral describes it as "partial 16S ribosomal RNA". It matches the Rfam family "Bacterial small subunit ribosomal RNA", at positions 524 to 776 of the family's 1533-position model. The record is from RNAcentral.